This 155-nucleotide ribosomal RNA is filed under the name uncultured bacterium. RNAcentral describes it as "partial 16S ribosomal RNA". It matches the Rfam family "Bacterial small subunit ribosomal RNA", at positions 367 to 534 of the family's 1533-position model. The record is from RNAcentral.
CCAAAUGACCGUAGGGUGCAGUCUGAUGCAGCCCGCCGCGUGAGUGAUGAAGGCCUUCGGGUUGUAAAGCUCUUUCACUAGGGAAGAAAAUGACUGUACCUAUAUAGGAUGGCCCGGACAAUUUCAUGCCAGGACCCCCGGUACUAUAAUAUGCC